UUUUGCAGAGUUUUUAAACUAACAAGAGAUACUGAGGACACAUUAGAACUAGCAUCCCCUUAAAAUGUUAAUCAUCCAUAGUUUUUCAAAAAUAUUCCUCUGUUGAAAAUUAACAAAGUAAACACCCACUUUGAUAGCUCUUGCAAUGAUUAUAUUGAAGGCCACCUGUUCUGAAAGACGGGGCAAAGUUAUAACUAUGUCCGACUUGCUUUGAAUUUUUCUCUCUUCGUCAUUCUCUUUUAGUUGCCAUUUCAUGUCAUCUUUUCAACUAGUUAAACCAUUUAGGUUCUCUGUUGAAUUUUUAAAGGAAUGACUUGAAGUAUGAUAUUUUAUUUGAUUGUAUAGUUAUUAGCAGUGGGAAAUUAGAUGGAUUGGGUGUAAAUAGAUUUUUGAUGAAAAUUUAUUCAUCCAAUAACCAAUGGACCUUAAUAGAUGGGAUUUAAAUGGAUUAGACCAAUACGACAAUUCAAUAAGAUGCAAUUUUACAGAAUUGAAUUCAAAUUUUUAUCUACUACUGGACACAGCACGCCAACCUUCACAUCCUCAGCAAAUGGCUUGUUUAAAAAGUCAACUACUAUACCUCUUAUUAGAUUCAUUGAUUUUGACUAUAUAUUGUUAUAUUAUUUGCCUGUACUGAUUCUAUUAAUUUCUUUGUAUUAGUUCAAAAACAUAUGUAGGCAUAACUGAUACAAAACCAAGGCUGGGGAUGGGGGUGAGCAAGGGUGAAUUUCUGAAAUUAAACUAUAAACGUAUCGUGAGCUAGAGUCAUACCACUAGACCAAAUUCCACCAGUUAUCGCUUCUUUCCUUUUCUUUAUAUAAACUGUUCUAGCCAGCCUUUGAUGGUUUUGCUUCAAGAACCUUAUUCUCAAAACCAUUUGACCUAUUCCCCAUAGGCAAUCAAAGACACUUUGGUAACGUAGGCUACAGCGAAUGCUCUAGUUUUGGUUGAUAAAGAGUGAUACCUGCAUAUGAGUUGAGAAGUCCCCUCUUUAAAAAUUGAAGUUUGAGUUGUUAUAUUUGUUUUGAUUUUUGGAAAAAUAAUAAGCUAUGCACGGUAAUACACUUUGGUGUAAUGCUCAAUGGGUUUUAAUUUUCUGCAGGAUCUACAACUUCAUAGUUCUAAUGCAGUCUGUGCAAAAUUUACUUGAUUACAAUAGGAGACUUAAUUCUACCUAUACAACUUUUAUUACCAUUAUUUUUUGUUGUUAGUGGUGUUUCUGGUAAUGUUUUUCUUGCAAUAUAUCCAAACUUUAACAUUAAUGACAUGGCAUCUGUCGCUAUGUGUUGCCCACCUGAGAUUGAGCCACAGUGUCUCGUAGAUAUGUUUUACUACUCUGGCUAAUGAUUAGAGUCGAUUUAUGAUAUUUUUUAGUAAUUUAUUAUUAUUUUUUUGUCUCCCCUAAAUAUAAUUGAAAGAAACAAAAAUUAAUUUGUAGGUUUCAUGACCACCUCAAUUUGACUGGGAAUUAAACUGAGGACCUCGCAUAGCCAAAGGGAUAAUCAAGGCUUAUUUUUGUGAUUUGACAUUAUUGAAAGUAUUAACUUACUGAGGAUUAAGUUCACUUUGAGAUCCGAAAGUGAUAUGAUGUAACCGAACCAGAUAAGUGGAGUCAUUUUUCUUAUUGAAGAUGCAGGUACUCCCUGGCUGGCAUACGUUGUUUUGAAUCUUUUGAUCUGCUACUUGUAAAUUUCCUAUUAUUCAACUGAGCACAGCAAAUUUCGCAGGUCAGUGCCAGUACCAUUUACUAAUCAUGCUUCAGUUUCAGGAUUAGUUAUUUGGUGCAAAAAUUAAUUUCCACAGUGAGCAGUCAGUAUCUCUGUUAUUUUGGUGGUUAUAUAUUAUUAAAAUAUACAUUUUAAAUAUUCUGCUUCCACAAAAAUUAAUAUUUCUACAGUGAGCAGUCAGUAUCUCUGUUAUUUUGGUGGUUAUUUAUUACUAAAAUAUACAUUUUAAAUAUUCUGCUUCUGACCACACCUUGAAGUAAUAAUCUCUCAUUUUCUAUAAUCUGAAUCCAUGUAUUGUAGAAUCUUUCCAGAAGGACAUUGUAUUUGUGUCCAGAAAAUGCCCUUGUGCAGAGGUUCUCGUUCUCAUAUCUGAUGGCUUUACAACCAGAAACAGCAUUAGAUAGAGCUUUGAAAAUGAAUUAGGCAGCUAAAUAACUAUCUUCUGAUUCAGUUACAUUAUUGAGUCAGGUCACUGAAUCAACAAUAUUUAGUCCUUUCAGUGUGCAGUACAGUUUCCUCAUAAUGUUACAUAAUUGAGGUAAUUGAACAACUAUGUCUUAAUAGUUAACAAGGUUGCAUUAUUAAAUCUAGCUUUAGCAUUUGGAAUACCUGUGCUGGAUACUCUGUUUAUAAGUCUUGUUUCUUUUAUUUACAAUCAGACCUGUCCAGGUUGACAAGGGAAUAAAAAGGUGCUCUACGGCUGACAGAUAAUUUGUAAAAUGGGGCAUACGAGAAUUGAAAUCAGGACCUCCUGCAGCCGAAGUGAGAAUCAUACCACUAGACCAAAUGCGUUGUUGUAGUAGAAAAUUGUGUUCCUUGGACCUUGUUAUUUGCUUCUUGCUUUUUCUAAACUGUUCUAGAUCAGAAGAAGCUUUGAUGCCAGAAGCUAUAAUUAACAGACAGUUCUCUAGUUUUGGACAAUAAAAAAUGCAAAUGUGCAUAGAGUUUGUGACUUGUGAAGUUUCUUUUUAAAAUUGCAAUUUGAGUCGUGAAAAAUUUUUUCACCAUGCAGGGUAAUAGACUUUGGGAUAAUACUUGAUGUGGUGUAAUAAUAUGCAGGAUGUUUUGUAUGGGUGCUACUGCUUCCCUUGUCAUGUAUUCAUACUAGUUAAUAUUUAUGUUAUCGCCUCAGCCGCAAUCUGUUAACCUAGUCCUUGUUUGAUCCAUCUCAGUGUCUUGGAGAACUCUUUGUUCAUAGGGCUGCUGCUGCUAAUGCUUUUCUUUUGAUGUAUGCAUACUUGUGUUAGAAUUUUAUGGUAGGGGCCUUGGCCACAAUCUAUUGACCUUGUCCCUUUUUGAUCCAUAUCAGUAUCUUACAGAAGACCUCUGUUACCACUUUUGCAUAAUGACUGAGUUGACUUCACAUAUGACAUUAGGAGGCUUCCACCCGGAAUACAGAAUUGAGGAAUGCAAUUGUCAUUGUAGGUAUUUCAACAGAAAUUCAGUGACUAGUGGAAUUGUAAAUGAUAUGAUAUUGGAUAAUAGUAAUAAUACUGUAGAGGAAAUUAACAAUGUAAUAUGGAAAAGAGAGAUGACACCAGGCAUUCAAAAAGCCUGAGAUCACUCCCAGUUUUCUUUCAGAGAGUAUGGAUGAAUGAAAUAAUAUAAUUCCCUUCUCCCUUUAUCUAUGGUGAGAUUGCGCCACACUUAUUCAAGAAAUUUCCCCCCAACUUUCUCCCUCAAUCAACUCACAAAUUGUUAAAACAAUUUCAACAUAAUUACAAAUUCAACUCGAUUAAAUCUCUGGCAACAUGGACUCCUCUUUCCUUGCGUGAAUCAGUGACAUGAGCUUCCAGUUCUUCCCCUUUAGCUUGAUUUGCCCUUUUUUCUUCCUAGCAUAGGUGAAUUGAACCAGUGGCUUAUCAGAUAUCUUAUACUUGUUUUGCUGAAAAAUGGUUGAAAUAAAUUAAUAAAAGAAUAUAUAUUUAGGAUAAAUGACCACCUUAAUUUGAAUGGGGCAUUCUGAGAAUCGAACUCUGGACCUCUUGCACCAAAGCGAGAAUCAUACCGCUAAUGCCCAGUUGUAGUCAAUUAUUUUGUCCUUGAAGCCUGUAAUUUCUUGCUGUUUCUGUUUGUCGAUAGAUAAGGUAGGGGUAUUGCCAACACUACCACCACCACUCUGGGAUCUAGGUGGAGGCCUAACAGUCUCCUUGGCUUUGACGGUGUUUCAGAUUAAAAACAAAAUCUGUUCUAGUCAGCCUUUCGACUAAGCUCUUUGAUCUAUUCAUCAUAGGCAAUCAAAGGGAACUUUGAUCUCAGAAUCUACUAUUAAAAGAUAGUUCUCUAGUUUUGGGUGAUAAAAAGUUCCUACGUGCAUAUGUUGUUGCGAAGCACCUGUUUUAAAUUGCAGUCUGAGUUGUGAAAAUAUAAUGAUCUGUGGAAGGUAAUAGAAAUUAGAAUAAAUGCUCAAUGUGGGGUAAUUUUGUGAAGGAUUAUUUCCAGUGUUGCAGCUGCGCUAAUGCUUUCUUGAAAUAUAUUCAUACUUUUUAAUAUAUAUGAAUGAUAUGACCUCGGCCGCAAUCUGUUGACCUUGCCUAAGUUUGAUCAAUCUCAAUUUUUUGGAGAAGAUCUUUUUUACCACUCUGGCUUAAUGACUUAGUUGACUUUGUAUAUCAUCCUUGCUUUCUUGAAAUGUAUUCAUACUUUUUAAUAUAUAUGACAUGACCUUGGCCGCAAUCUGUUCACCUUGCCCAAGUUUGAUCAAUCUCAAUUUUUUGGAGAAGAUCUAUUUUACCACUCUGGCAUAAUGACUGACUUUGUAUGUCAUCCUUGUUUCACUGAAAUUUAGUUGAAAGAAAGGGGGAAAAAAAAAAAAAAAAAAGAAGAAGAAUGCGUAAACACCUUAAUUUGAUUGAGGCAUUCCGAGAAUCGAACUCGGGACCUCUCGCACCCAAAGCGAGAAUCAUACCACUAGACCAAAUGCCCUUCUAUUAAUUGUUUUGAACCUUGGAGCUUGACAGCUUGUCAUUUCUUGCUUGUCUGUAUAUUAGCUGUUCUAGACUGCUUUUUGAGUAUUAUUUUUCUAGGAGCACAUUUCACAAAAGAAUUUUAUCUAUUGAUCGUAGGAAAUGAAAGGGAGCCUUGAUCUCAGAAGCUAUAUUUAAUAGACAGUUUUUUAGUUUUUUGUGAUAGAAAGUUGCUACAUGCAUAUGUGUUGUGAAUACCAUUUUUAAAUUGCAAUCAGAGUCAUGGAAAAAUAACGAGCUAUGCAAUGUGUAAUUUUAUGAAGGAUUGUUUCUAGUGCUGCUGCUGCUUUUUCUUCACGCGUAUUCGUACUUAUUUAUAUUUAGCCUGAGUUUGAUCCAUCUCAGUGUCUUGGAGAAGAUUUGUUUUACCAUUCUAGCAUAAUGACUGAGUUGAUUUCAUUUAUGAUAUUUCCCACAAAAUUUAGUUGGAAAAAAAAAAAAAAAAGGUAGGAUUGAUGACCACCUAAAUUUGACUGGGCAUUCAGAAAAUCGAACUCAGGAUUUGCCCCUAAAGCAAGAAUCGCUUUUUGGACACUCAGCUAAUUCUUUACUCCACAUAAGUAUAGAAUGCUCUGGGUUAGCAAGUAUGGAAAUGAAGAAAAAAUUUAUGUUGCCAGUGUCACUAUCACUAUUAUAUAUCUAGAAUUUAUAUUUCCAAAUUUUGGUACGAAUCCAUACUGUAUGCAUCCUGUUUCAGUAGAAUGAACUGCUGACAGAAUUUGCUUUGGUUUUUCACAUGCAGCUGGGCAAGGAUUGACAAGAAGCUGAAGGUUCAAUUUUGUAUUUAACAAGUCACCUUCUUGCCACACAGAAGUGCACAUGUACAUGCUCAAGGUUUUUUUUUUGCAUGAUUUGACAUUCUCAUAAUCAUCUAAUUGUUGUGGUGAGAUCAUACUAUUUUUCUUAUUGAUGACGCAGGUAAUCGCUGUCUGAUAUGUUUUGUUUCAGUAGCUGCGUCGUGCAGGACGAGUUGCCUAGGUGAGCUUAGUGUCAACUAUUAUAUGCGCUUGAAUUUCUGUAUCUUUCUAAGUUGACUAUUGUUUGUAAAUUGUUUAUAAUAGGUCAAACCACAUUUUAUCCACAUAUUUCGUGGAACCUACAAGUACGACCCACUUAUUUGCCACUCAUUUCUAUUUAUUUAUAAUUUAAACCAUUUAAAAACAACUCCCAAGCACGUUUUAAAAUAUUUCCAUUUUUCUACUGUGGACCAUCAAUGGACCUGUUAUUUGGUAGAAUCUUUUCAACAGUUUUGUGCUGAGGUUCCUCAUAAACUUUGUAUUGAUGACUCCAGAGCUGAUAAUAUCAACAAUAUUUAAACCUUUCAGUAGGGCAAUAAAUAUUUUAUGCUUAGAAGACAGGCAAGUGAAUUGUCAAUAGAUAGACCGUUCAGUGGGGAGUAACUGUUUCCUCAUAAUGUUACAUUAUUGAGGCAAUUGAAUUGACAGUAUAUUAUCUUUCCAGUGUGGAAACAACGGUCUUAAAAAUUUUACAUUAUUAAAUCUAGCUUUCGCAUAUGCAAUAUCAGUUUCAGAUGUAAAUUUUUUUUUUCUCUGUCUUGAUUCUUUUAUUUACAAGCAGAUCUGUCCUGCUUGACUAGGAAGUAAAAAGGUGCUUUGUGGCUGACUAAACUAUUGCAUAAAAUGGGGCAUUCUGAGAAUUGAACUUCGGACCUCUUGCACCCGAAACGAGAACCAUACCACUAGAUCAAAUGCCCUGUUGAAUUUUAUUACUCUGUCCCUUGGAUCAUGAACCUGUUUUACAAGUCUGACCUGACGAAGGAUGAACCAAAUCGAACAAACCUUAGAGUUGUAUGAGAAUUGUAGAAGAAUGGAAAAAGCGAAGAGGAGAAAGAAGGGGGAGAGAGGGAAAAAAUAGAUAGCCAGGAGAGAGAGUGCUGUAAUUUUAUUCAAUAAUCAAAAGGCCUCUAACAAUAAAAAACCACCUUCAUUCUUAUACCAGAAAUCCCGAUGAAAAUAUGGAACAUUACCUAAUAAUUAAGGAAAGGGAAUAAAGUAAAUCACUCUAAAUAAUUAUAAAAUAAUUCUUAUUCUACUCAAUGGCAAGUCUUUCACAAUUAUCUUUAUUGAUCUCCAUCAUGGCCUCUCAUUACAUUACCUGGGAUUGUUAAUUGGUAUAACUGGUAAGUGCUUGACAGGAUAUGUGAUGUUUAACAAUGUAACAAAAAUUUGCUUUUUUUCAUUUUCCCUAUACUGACUCCAAAAUGCACUUCAUUUCUCAAUUGUUCUUCUUGGAGAUUGUCAAUUAUGAUAAUUGUUUUUCCUUGUAGUUGAUUUAUUGAGACUUUAAGAAAAAAAUUGUACAGGAUUCAUGAUCACCUUAAUUUGAAUGGGGCAUUCCGAGAAUCGAACUCGGGACCUCUCGCACCCAAAACGAGAAUCAUACCACUAGACCAAAUGCCCUGCUGUAGUCAAUUCUUUUGCCCCUUGAAGCUUGUAAUUUGCUUCUUGCUUGUCAAGUAUAUAAACUGUUCUGGUCUGCCUUUUGACUAUUAUGCUUCCAGACAAGAGUAUGUCACAAAACCCUUUGAUCUAUUCCCCAUGGGCAAUCAAAGGCAGUAUUGAUCUCAGAGGCUACAAUUAACAGUCAACGAGGCAGUUCUCUGGUUUUGGACUAUAAAAAGUGCCUACGUGCAUUCAAAAUGUGAAGUUACUUUUCUGAAAUUGCAAUUUGAGUUAUAUUAUUCAUGAAAAAUUCUUUAAAAAAAAAUUAUUCAUGAAAAAUUAUAAACUGUGAAUGGUAAAAGACUUUUGUGUAAUUCUCAAUGUGGUGUAAAUUUGUGCAGGAUUGUUUGUAGUGAUGCUGGUGCUGCUAAUACUUUUCUUGAAAUGUAAACAUACUUUUUAAUAUUUAUCGUAUGGCUUCGGCAGCAAUCAACAGACCUAGCUCAAGUUUGAUCCAUCCCAGUGUCUUGGCGAAGAUCUGUUAACCAGUUUUGUAUAAUGAAAGAGUUGACUUCAUUUAUGAUAUUUCAUCCUUGUUUCCAUUAAAUUUAAUUAAAAGAAAUAAUAAAAAGAAGUGUAGGAUUCAUAAUCACCUUAAUUUGACUGGGGCAUUCCAAGAGUCGAACUUGGGACCUCUCGCACCCUAAGCGAGAAUCAUACCACUAGACCAAAUGCCCAAUUACUGAUGAUUUUAGCACUCAAAUAAAUCUUUACUCCACAUAAUAAAUAGUAAACACUGGGUGAAGGAAAAUUUUAUGUCUCCAGUGUUGCCAAUCAUUGCGAUAUAUCUAGACUAUAUUCUUCCAAAUUUUGGAAUGUAUACAUACUGUAUACCUCCUGUACAGGUAGAAUGUACUGCUGACAAAAUUUUAUUUCCUCUUGGCCCCUACUCCAAUGUCGUUUAGAUCUCUGGAAAAAAAUAUGCACGUGCUGGUUAAAAAUGUUUUCAUAUGAAGCUGGGCAAGGAGCAACAAGAAGCUGAAGUUUCAGUAUUGGAUUUCAUGCAUUCACCUUCAUGCCAUGCAGAUGUACACAUGUACAUGCUCUCAAGGCUUAUUUGCAUACUAUUUUUCUCAUUGCUGAUGCUGGUAAUUCCUGGCUGACAUGUGUUGUCAAUAGCAGCUGCUUUUAAAUACCUUAUUAUGCGACGCACAGUGAAUUGUGCAGGUGAGCUUAGCGUCAAUUGAUUAAGUUUGCUUCAAUUUUUGUAUCUUGCUAAGUUAUUUGAUGCCAAAACUUAAUAUUUCUAUUUACCGUCGUGGACUUUCAAUACCUCUGUUAUUUGGUUUUUAUAUGCGGUUUAGAGUAAUACACUAAUUCUUGAUGCUUCUUGAUGUAAUAAUAUUCCGUUUUCUAUAUUUUUAGUCUAUAUUUAGUACAAUCUUGUCAGCAUCCUUUGUUUUGAGGUUCCUCUUAAACUUUGGAUCUAUUGACUCUAGAAGUGAUAGAAUCAGCAUUAUUUAAUUAAACCUUUCAGUAGGGCAAUAAUUUUUUUGUGCAUAGGUUGCAUUAUUGAGGGAAGAUAUUGAAUCAAUAAUAUCGAGACCUUUCAGUGGGCAGUCACUUUUUCCUCAUCAUGUAACAUUAUUGAGGCAAUUGAGUCGACAAUAUAUAAUCAUUCCAGUAUCCCAUCAAUUGUCAUAAUAAGGUUUACAUUAUUAAAUCUAGUUUUAGCACUUUGUGAUGUUAAUGUUAGUUAAUUUUUGUUUUCAGUCUUUGAUUCUUUUAUUUCAUAGCAGAUCUGUACAGGUUUGACUAGGAAAUAAAAAAAUUCUUUCUGGUUGACUAAAAUAAUUCAUAAAAUGGGGCAUUCCGAGAAUCGAACUCGGGACCUCUCGCACCCAAAGCGAGAAUCAUACCACUAGACCAAAUGCCCUAUUACUUAUGAUUUUUAGCACUCAUCUAAAUAUUUACUCCACAUAAGUAGUCGUAUACACUGGGUUAAUAAGUCUUGAAGUGAAGGAAAUUUCUUUUUUUUUGGUCUCCAGUGUCACUAUCAUUGUUAUAUGUCUUGAAUUUAUUUAUUUAUUUAUUUUUUUCAAAUUUGUGUAUGCAAUACAUCCUGUUCCUGUAUUAUGAACUGCUGACAGAAUUUUAUUUCCUCUUGUUCCAUACUCCAAUGUCAUUCACAUCUCUGGAAGUAAAGAAAAUAUUCACGUGCUGGUUAAAACUGUUUUCACGUGAAGCUAGGCAAGGAGCGUCAAGAAGCUGAAGCCUCACAGUAGGAUUUCAUACAUUUGCCUUCUUGCCACACAGAUGCAUACACGCACAUGCUCGAAUUUUACAUACUCUUAGUUAUCUAAUUGAUUUGGAUAUAUCAUACUAUUUUUUUUUUUUUUAAUUGAAAAUGCAGGUAAUUCCUGGCUGACAUUGUUUCAACGGCCGUUGCUUUUAAAUAUCCAAUUAUGAAAAGGAGCACGGUGAAUUGUGCAGGUGAGCUUAGUGUCAUUGAUUAAAUUCACUUGAAUUUAUGUAUCUUGCUAAAUUAUUUGAUGCCAAAACUUGAUAUUUCUAUUUCCCAUAGUGGACUUUCAAUACCCCUAUUAUUUGGUUUUUAUAUUUACUAAAAUAUGCAGUUUUUAAUAGCAAACUGAUUCUUGAUUUUUCCUUGACAGAGUAAUAUCCCUUUUUCUAUAUUCUUAGUCACAUUUAGUAGAAUCUUGUCGGCAACCUUUGUGCUGAGGUUCCUUUUAAACUUUGAAUCUGAUGACACUGGAAGUGAUAGGGCAAUAAAUUUUUCAUGCAUAGGUUGAAUUAUUUAGACCAGCAACUGAAUCAAUAAUAUUAAGACCUUUCAGAGGGCAGUAACUGUUUCCUCAAAAUAUUACAUUAUUGAGGCAAUUGAGUCAACAAUACAUAAUCCUUCCAGUAACCCAUCAACUAUAUAUUAAUAAGUUUUACAUUAUCUAGCUUUAGCACCUGUGAUAUUAAUAUUAGUUUAUUUUUGUUUUAAGUGUGUGAUUCUUUAAUUUGAUAGCAGAUCUGUCCAGGUUUGACUAGGAAAUAAAAAAGUGCUUUGUGGUUGACAAAAAUAAUUCAUAAAAUGGGGCAUUCCGAGAAUCGAACUCGGGACCUCUCGCACCCAAAGCGAGAAUCAUACCACUAGACCAAAUGCCCUGUUAUUACUAUGUUCCUUGCAACACGAACUUGUUUGACAAGUCUGACCUCCACUGUGGUAUUUAUUACAGUUCUAUUUACUGAACUCAUUUUUUCCAGCGUGAUACUGAAGUUUGGGUUUAGUUUGAUGUCAGAUGUGCAAGACAUUAAUUGUUAAUGCCAUGAAACAACACAAAAAGCAAACUUCACCACUUUAAAAUAAAAUAAAGUUAAAUGACUAAUAUAAAACUUCACUAAUAAUGUUUUGAACCCAUUUUUAUUCUACAUCAACUUGAAAUGGGGGUCAAAUUUUAAAUUUUUAACAUUCAUUUUGUUCUGAAAUCAGGGUUUGUAAGAUUUGUUAUGUUAUUCUAGUUUGACUAUUUAUGGUUGAUCUGAAUGAUUUCAUAUUUUUUAUUAGUUAAACCACUAAUUUAAUGAUCAUUUGAAACGAGAAUGUUUUUAAACAUUGAAGCACUUGGAAUAUACAAACCGCAGCUGUUAGAAACAUCUGUUCAUCAAUUUCUCUUGGCAAGCGGACCUGUUUUGAGGGGCUUUCCAAGAACUGAACUCUGGGACCUCUCCCCUUGGAAACGGACUGUUUUAUUUAUUAAUAUUCAGUAAAAUACUUCUAUGAAUAGAGAAAUUGUGUCAUAUUCGAGUUUUCAUUUCUUACAGAUUUCUAAUAGAUUUUGGGAUUAUUAGCAUGAUAAAAGACUCGUAUGUUUUAACCUUUCAAACUAAAUAAUAGUAUGAAUUGGGUGUAAGGUGCUGGCUUUGGGUUGGAAUUGCUUAAAGUUCGCCCAAAUAAUUGCUGAAUGGCCAUAAUUAUCAUCUCCCUCACCCGUAAUUGAUUGCAGCUCACAAUUUGCUCCUUUUCAGUCUGCUUUUUACCCCUACCAUAGGCCCUUAAUGAAAUAUAAUCAAUGAGAAAAAGUUUGGUGAGUGAACGGAAGAAGAGUUGUACAAAAAUUCUUUUUGUUCUCUCUCUCACUCUUGUUACUUGCUAGGGAUCUUUUCAUGUAAAACAAAUGGCCUUUGCUGGAACGACACAGAAAUGCACUGCUUGUAGCAAGACUGUAUAUUUAGUAGAUCGGCUGGCAGCCCCGCCAACUGGGUAUCCACCAUUGCAAUAAUACCCUGAAGGUAUUUGUAAUUUAUCAAAGGAAGCAUUAUUAUAUAUUUUUCAAUAUAUCCUUUGAGGGCAGGUUUAAUGUUUCAUUUUAUUUUCUCCUUUUCAGCUCAGCAAUUUCAACUCCUUUGAGGGGGUCGUGUAUUGCAGUCCUCACUUUGAUCAGAUCUUCGAGAGAACUGGCAGCCUGGAGAAGAGUUUCGAAGGUAGAAGAACCAUAUAUGAAAUCUAAUUUACCUUAUUUCUAUAAUUAUAUCUUCCAAACUAUAUCUCAGUGUUCUGCACUCGUCUAAAAUUUCUUCCAGGGACACCAAAAAUCUUGAAACCCGGAAAGCUAGUUGACAAUGAGGUAAUCUGCUUCUUGCUAAAGCAGAAAUUUAGAUUAUUCAAAUUUUGGAUCUUACACAUUGGGG
Molecule: long non-coding RNA, 11796 nt
Filed under: Olea europaea subsp. europaea
Lineage: Eukaryota; Viridiplantae; Streptophyta; Magnoliopsida; Lamiales; Oleaceae
Source: RNAcentral